GACAGAGGGGGCAAGCGUUGCUCGGAAUCACUGGGCGUAAAGGGUGCGCAGGCGGUUCUGCAAGUCAGGCGUGAAAUCCCCGGGCUUAACCUGGGAAUGGCGCUUGAAACUACGGGACUGGAGUAUGGCAGAGGGAGGUGGAAUUCCACGUGUAGCGGUGAAAUGCGUAGAGAUGUGGAGGAACACCGAUGGCGAAGGCAGCCUCCUGGGCCAAUACUGACGCUCAUGCACGAAAGCGUGGGGAGCAAACAGG
RNAcentral lists this ribosomal RNA (253 nucleotides) under uncultured bacterium. RNAcentral's name for it is "partial 16S ribosomal RNA". It matches the Rfam family "Bacterial small subunit ribosomal RNA", at positions 524 to 776 of the family's 1533-position model. The record is from RNAcentral.